Non-coding RNA from Cordylochernes scorpioides, 75 nucleotides. NCBI's taxonomy places the organism in Eukaryota, Metazoa, Arthropoda, Arachnida, Pseudoscorpiones, Chernetidae. The record is from the annotation of a GenBank genome assembly.
UGUCAAGGGAUGGGAAUCGAACCCACAAUGUUCCGCUUACCGGGCAGAUGCCAUGUCCACUAGGCUACCCUGGAC